RNAcentral lists this unclassified non-coding RNA (416 nucleotides) under soil metagenome. RNAcentral describes it as "partial contains 5.8S ribosomal RNA, internal transcribed spacer 2, and large subunit ribosomal RNA". The stretch from base 4 to 118 matches the Rfam family "5.8S ribosomal RNA", at positions 40 to 154 of the family's 154-position model. The record is from RNAcentral.
GAUAGAACGUAGCGAAAUGCGAUAAGUAAUGUGAAUUGCAGAAUUCAGUGAAUCAUCGAAUCUUUGAACGCAUCUUGCGCUCCUUGGUAUUCCUUGGAGCAUGCCUGUUUGAGUAUCAUGAGCAAAUCUCAAAGUCAAUUCCUUUUGUUGAUUCAAUUGGUUUUGCUUUGGACUUGGAGGCCUUGCAGAUUUCACAGUCUGCUCCUCUUAAAUGCAUUAGCUGGAUCUCAGUAAUUAUGCUUGGUUCCACUCGGCGUGAUAAGUAUCACUCGCUGAGGACACUGUUAAAAAGGUGGCCAGGAAAAUACUGAUUGAACCGCUUCUAACGGUCUAUUAAGUUAGACAAUUACCCUUAAGUUUGAUCUCAAAUCAGGUAGGACUACCCGCUGAACUUAAGCAUAUCAAUAAGCGGAGGA